RNAcentral lists this ribosomal RNA (292 nucleotides) under uncultured bacterium. Its description in RNAcentral is "partial 16S ribosomal RNA". It matches the Rfam family "Bacterial small subunit ribosomal RNA", at positions 505 to 796 of the family's 1533-position model. The record is from RNAcentral.
GUGCCAGCAGCCGCGGUAAUACAGAGGGUGCAAGCGUUGUCCGGAAUCACUGGGCGUAAAGGGCGCGUAGGCGGCCCGAUAAGUCGGAGGUGAAACGCUGCGGCUUAACCGCAGCACUGCCUUCGAGACUGUCAGGCUUGAGCACGGUAGAGGCUGGUGGAAUUCCCGGUGUAGCGGUGGAAUGCGUAGAGAUCGGGAAGAACAUCGGUGGCGAAGGCGGCCAGCUGGGCCGUUGCUGACGCUGAGGCGCGACAGCGUGGGGAGCAAACAGGAUUAGAAACCCUGGUAGUCC